RNAcentral lists this long non-coding RNA (25935 nucleotides) under Gossypium barbadense (sea-island cotton). Its description in RNAcentral is "long non-coding RNA (GBAR_LNC015172)". The record is from RNAcentral. Lineage: Eukaryota; Viridiplantae; Streptophyta; Magnoliopsida; Malvales; Malvaceae.
UUGUGAUUGGUACUUUUGUGAUUGACAACAAAUUCACCUUUCUUUGGAUUCUAAUCAGAAGCUUGUAUCUUGUCUUGCAUUGCAUUUGUGUCUCAUUUCAAGAACUGAUGUCAAGUUGUGAUCAAUGGAGGAAGUUUCUUGCAAGACUUUGAUUUCCUUCUCAUGCAAUUUAUGACGCUUCAUUCUAUGAUUAUCUUUGCAAUUUACAGACUGGCUUUUGAGUGUUGAUUUGAUAAAGAUUUAGUGAAUAUGGUAAGUCUCUUUCUAUAUAUAGUCAUUUGCAAUGAACAACUAAAUUGAAUAACAUAACUCCAUAAAACAUUCAUUUAGUUUGGAACUACAAGUCUCUUAUAUUUCUUUGUUUAUUCUUUCUUUCUGCUAUUUUAUUGCUUCUAAUUGAAGGACGGAUUUUCAUGUUUUAACCUUUUGUUAAAACCAGUACUGCUUAUGUUCCAUGAAUUUUCCAGUAUCCACUCAUGAACUUUCUGAAUUCUCUUUGGAUAUGAAGGGAGAUGCUGAUAUGGCCGGAGUCAGAGUGAAUUGUUCUCCUUUUCAACAUUGAAGAGCUAUAAUAUAAAAGACAGCUUUGGUUCACCAAUUCAGGGGUUUAUCUGAUGUCUGUCUGAGCUGAUUUUUGGACAAUGGCUAAUAGCCUCGAGGAUUUCGAUUGUGCAAGGUUGGAUUUUUCAUUCGGAUUUGUAUCUUUUGGUUUUUCAUUUUCAAUGUUAGUCAUAUUUGGGUGAUAUCCUCUACUUUCCAGCGAAUAGUUUUGUUGGAGUCGUAUGCUUUUUAUUGUGGUUUUUACCCUCAACCCCUUGCUUCAAGGGGGUUUUCCAUGUAAAAGAUCACAUGUUUUGUUUAAUUGGUUCCUUACGAUUAUUGAGUUUUAUUUUGUGCAAUUAAGUUUACUAUAAAUAUUAAUUGAUAUAAAAAACAGUAUAAGUUUUUAUGCAGAUAGUCUUAAAUUUGUAAAUGCUCCUAAAAAUUUAACUCAUGAGAUCCUGAUUAAAAGUGCUCACAUGAACGGCGGCUUAACAUUUGGAUUGAGUUAUUAUACUGUAUUAAUAUAACUUAUAUUUAUCCAAGUUGGGUUGAAUUCGAAAUAUUAGUCUAAUUUUUUCUAACUCAUUCAUAUUUCUAAAUGCCCCAAGCUCACCCUUAUGUUUAAAGUUUAAACCUCCAUUCACAUAAUGAUUUAUGUUUAAUUAAUUCAUUUGACCUUAUCAAAUAGUAAUACUUCAAGUUUCAACUUGAUUAUUAUAUUUUCUCAAAGGCUUUUUGGAUCCACUAAUUGAGUUUAGCUUAAUUUUGGCUCACUUAAUCAAUUAUUUAUUUCAUGGGUCAGACCAAGAAUUUUGCUGCAAAAUCUUGCACAUCCAAAAUUUUGAUAUUACAAAUCAAAGAAAAUGAUUAAUCCAACUUCCACAAAUGACUAAUUCAAGUUUGAAACUUAUCACACGUAAUUAAAAUGUGGAUUUUCAGUUCUCAACGUAAAUUAUUGUUAUGGGUUGAUUUUAGUUUAAUUAAUUAGUUUAUAGUUUGAAUUUGUUCUAGCUACUAAUUUGUUCUAUAAUAAUUUGGUGAUACAUAUAUAUCAUUUUUCUUGUGUUUUAUUUUGUGUGAGCUUUUAAGUCCCGUGGUUUUUACCCUUUGCUUUAAUAGGUUUUUCAUGUAAAAAAUUACAUAUCUCAUUUAAUUUGUUCCUUACAAUUAUUUUGUUUUAUUUUGAGCUGAUCCAUGAUAUAUUAUACGUUUGCCAUAAUUAUUAAUUAAUAUUUAUUAAGAAUAAAAGAACACCAAUUAUAGAUCUAAACAAUGUUGAAUGUAUUCGAUUUCAUCCCAUCAAAAUUCAAAGAUUGCCCCACAUUUCAGAUUUACAUCUUUGACUGCAUUUUUUGUUAGUUAUAUGAAGUAGCGAUGUUGUUAAAUGUAUAGUAGUAUUGUUGGGAAGAUCACAAAUUUUUUUUACAAUAUUUUGGAUUGUAUAUUAGUCUUUUUAUUGAAAAACGAAUAAAUUAAUCCUUCAAAAAGUUAUAAAAUGAUCACUAAAUUAUUUGAGUUUCCGUUUCAGUUAAUGGGCAAUUAAAUUGUUAUUGUAUGGCAUUAUCUGUUUGCGUUCCUUACACUAAUCAAAAGCUCUCGUUUUUCUUAUUUUUUAUAGUUCAAAUUUUCAUUACAAAUUUACAAAUCAAAAUUCAAACAAUUUUUUAUUUUUUUUAUAUUUUUGACAUUGAUUGUUAGAUUGUAGUUCACUAGCUAAACUUUAAGAAAAAAACUUAACAACCUACUAACUAAAUAAAAACUUUCGAAUAAUUUAGUGAUUUAAAUAAAAACUUUUGAAUAGUUUAAUGGUCAUUUUGUAACUUUAUGAGGUUAGGUAACCAAAAUAUAAACUUAAUAAUAGUUUAGUGACCUUAAGUGUAGUUUACCCUUAAUAUAAUAUUAUGUUAAAUUCAAGUUAAUUUUUACAUAAAAAUCAAGCUUACUCUUAAAAUGUUCUUUUUUUGGAAAACAACUUAUGUUUUUGAAAAGAGGAAUUCGAUUUCUAGAAAAAAAUGAUUUAAUUUUUAUUGACUUGUAUCUCAUUUUUUGUUUAUCAAAUUAUUUUUUAUGAAACAAAUUUGAAAAAUAUAAAAAAAAAAUCUAUAAAUCAUUUUUCAAGAAGUAGAGACAACUUAAAUUUGAAAGGAAACUCAGUAUUAGAGGUGCUCAUGGGCCGGGUUCGUGCCGGGCCCAGAAAAAAUUUUAGCCCGUGUCCUAGGCCUCGGCCCGGCCCGGCCUGAAAUAUGGGUUUGAAUUUUUGUCCAGGCCCGGGGAAAAAAUCCUAAGCCCGAGCCUGGCCCGGCCUAGUCCACUUUUUAAAUAAAUACCAAAAAUUUAUUUUAAAAAUAAAAAAAUUUAAAAAAAUAUUUUAAAAAUAUUUUAAAAUUAAAAAAAAUAAAAAUAUAUUUAUUAUAUUCGGGCCAGGCCCAGGCUCGGGCCAAAAAAGUUGUGCUCGAGGCCAGAUCCGUUUUCUAAACGGGCCUCAUUUUUUUGCCCAAACCCAUAUUUCGGGCCUAUAUUUUUACCCAAAUUCUCCAAUAUUUCGGGCGAGCCGUCGCGCCAACCGGGCCGCCUGGCCCAUGAGCACCUCUACUCAGCAUAUAAUAUUUGCACAAAAUGACACUUAAAACUUGAAAAGUCUCAUUCUUAAUGUCUCUAUCAUACCUUCAGAUAUACAUGGGCCGAACCGAAUCAAGGCUCAACUUAAAAAAAGUCAAACCCGGUUCCAAGCAUCUCAUACCCAAUAAGCCUAUAUUACGGUUUGAAUAAUAAUAUUUUUUAAAACACACUUUUAUAUUAAUAUUUAUAUAUUUUUAUAAUUAAAAAUCAUUUAACUCAAGUUAGAGAGAUCAAGGGUGGGUUUGUAUGGGCGAUUAAGUGCGGUGCAGUACGUUUAGCCUACUUUUUGUCUCACACUACAGUGUUGUUACAGUAUCUAAUCUCACCGCUACCACUGUUUUUACAUUAACCGCAGGUAAACGCACUGCCUAUCCAAACUCACUCCAAGUUAGGGAAACUUUUUUAUCCAAAUUAAAUCAAAGUGAUCAAAUCGGGUGGAUCAUCCAAUUCCUCAACAUGUCUAAUCAUUCAUCAUGAGUCAUGAUUAGAGGUGUUUAUAGGUGAGUUUAGAUAUGAUAUUAACACAUUUUAUACUUACCAAACGUAAUUCAAUUUAAGAAAUGAGUCUAAAAUUUUGCUCAAGUUUACUAAUAUUAAUAAAUUACUAAUUCAAAUCCAUUUUAAGCUUGUACAUAUUAAUUUAAAAAAUAAAAUACAUUUAUAUUAUUUUUAAUUUAAUAUUUAUUAAAAUUAUAUAUAUUCAUCUUAACAUUUUCUAAUGUUUACAUUAUAAUAUUAUUAUUUAUUAUUAUAAAUUUAAUUUUUAUGUAUUAUAAAUUAUAUAAUAUAUGAAAAUAGUAUAAUAUAAAAUAUUAUAAAUCUUUAAAAACAAAUAAAAUUAAAUCGAAUUUUAUAUAUUUAAGUCUGAACUCGAUUUAUAUUUUAAACAAAAUUAAUUAAUUUUAUAAAAUAAAUCUAAUUUUUUUAUUUAAAUCUUCACAAAUUUUAGACAAACUUUUAACGGAUAUAGUCAUGAAUCAAGAGGUACAGUAUUGACAUUUAAAACACGUUGUUGUACAAUCAUAACAAAAGAAAAGGAGUGUUCUAAGACCAUACAUUUUACCAACCACUUGCCUGCCUCUUAAACACAAAAGCUUUAAAGCUGCAAUGAUAUGACAAAACGGGCAUUUAUUUGUUUCUAUCAACUUAACGUACAUGGUAUUAAUAUUUUAGGGUGCACUGAUAUAUGAUUUACAGCAAUGGUCUCAUUCCACAGCAUCUACAUCUGCAUCUGCAUCAUCCAUCUUCUUAUUGGUGAUGAAGCCUAAAACCUGCCAUUGUUGAUAAAUUGAUUUCCCUGUCUGACACCCUGUUUCUUACCCAUGACUGAAGGUCCUCUUUUAUCUCCAACGUAAUUAUUUCAGUCGGCCCCAAUCGCAAUAAUGGUAGGAGAGAGAGACUUUCCAACGCCAUGCAGACCAAACAUGGAAACUGUCUCCACAUUAUCACUCACUCAUAUCCUCUCUAGUUUUUUUUUAAAGGGUUAAUGUGUAAAUUUCUCAGUUCAAAUUGAAAUUUAUACCAUAAUGUUAUAUUUUAAGUUAUAUUUAUCAAUAUAUUUUAAAGCAAAAAAAAAAUUACCACUAUAUUUUAGUUUUAUUCUUAAAAUAUAAUGAUAAAUACUAAUCAAAAUAAUAUAUAGUGACAAAUUUUAAAUGUAUAGUAGUAUUGUUGGGAAGAUGACAAAAUUUUUUGUACAAUAUUUUGGAUUGUAUAUUAGUCUCUUUAUUGAAAAACAAAUAAAUUAAUCCUUCAAAAAGUUAUAAAAUGAUCACUAAACUAUUUGAAUUUCUAUUUCAGUCAAUGUGCAAUUAAAUUGUUAUUGUAUGGUCUUAUCUGUUCGCACUCCUUACACUAAUCAAAAGCUCUCAUUUUCUUUUUUUUUUAUAGUUCAAUUUUUCAUUACAAAUUUGCGAAUCAAAUUUCAAACAAUUUUUUAUUUUUUUAUAUUUUUGACAUUGAUUGUUAGAUUAUAGUUCACUAGCCAAACUUAAAAAAAAAAACUUAACAAUCUAGUGACUUAAAUAAAAACUUUCGAAUAGUUUAAUAACUUAAAUGAAAACUUUUGAAUAGUUUAGUGAUCAUUUUGUAACUUUAUGAAGUUGGGUAACCAAAAUAUAAACUUAAUAAUAGUUUAAUGACCUUGAGUGUAGUUUACCCUUAAUAUAAUAUUAUGUUAGAUUCAAGCUAAUUUUUACAUAAAAAUCAAGUUUACUCUUACAAUGUUCUUUUUUUGGAACACAACUUACGUUUUUCAAAAGGGGAAUUCAAUUUCUAGAAAAAAAUGAUUUAUUUUUUAUUGACUUGUAUCUCAUUUUUUGUUUACCAAAUUAUUUUUUAUGAAACAAAUUUGAAAAAUGUAAAAAAAAUCUGUAAAUAAUUUUUCAUGAAAAUAGAAGCAACUUAAAUUUGAAAAGAAACUCGGCAUAUAAUAUUUACACAAAAUGACACUUAAAACUUGAAAAGUCUCAUUCUUAAUGUCUCUAUCAUACCUAGAGAUGUACAUGGGUCGAACCGGAUCAAGGCUCAACUUAAAAAAAAUGUCAAACCCGGUUCCAAGCAUCUCACACCCAAUAAGCCUAUAUUACGGUUUGAAUAAUAAUAUUUUUUAAAACACACUUUUAUAUUAAUAUUUAUAUGUUUUUAUAAUUAAAAAUUAUUUAACUCAGGUUAGAUAGAUCAAGUUAGGGAAACAUUUUUAUCCAAAUUAAAUCAAACCGAAUUCGGGUGGAUCAUCCAAUUCCUCAACAUGUCUAAUCAUUCAUCAUGAGUCAUGAUUAGAGGUGUUUAUGGGUUGAGUUUAGAUAUUAUAUUAACACACUUUAUACUUACCAAACGUAAUUCAGUUUAAAUUGCUAAUUCAAACGUAAUUUUACUCAAGUUUAUCAAUAUUAAUAAAUUACUAAUUCAAAUCCAUUUUAGGCUUGUACAUGUUAAUUAAAAAAUAAAAUAUAUUUAUAUUAUUUUUAAUUAAUAUUUAUUAAAAUUAUAUAUAUUCAUCUUAACUGUAACAGCCUAAUUUUUAGUGGUGUCGAAAACAGUGAUUCGAGAUCACUAAAUCUGACCAGUGAGUUUUAAAUUUUAAUAAAUAAAUACAUAUGAGUCAAGUAUGAUUAUAGAAGAAUUUUAGAUUAGUGAAUUCUGUGAUUUAAAAAGAAAAUAAUAAGUAAAUUGGGUCUAAAACGAGGUAUUGAAACAUCGAACUCAUAAACCAAGCCAUAAAUAUUUUUAAAAAUAUUUAUAAAGUGUCAUUGAGUUGGGAUUAAAGUUUCGUUAGAAAAUUCUAACGUUUGAAUGGUCAAUUAAUUAAAAAAUACUAAAUUAAGAAUAGUACAAAAUUUAUUAAAUUAUGAUUAAAUAGCUUAAGUGACUAAUAAGGAUGGAUUUAAAAGGCAAUUAGGCCCAAAUUAUAUGGGCUGGACUGUUUGGGCAAGAAAAUCAGCAAGAAAACAAGGAGAAACAAGGGCAAAAUUAGAAAUUUUACAAAUUAAACAUAUAAAACAAAGACAAAAUUGAAAAAUCUAGAUAUUUCUUCAUAAUUCAGCAGCAAAAACACCACAGGAGGUCUGAAACAAGCUGAUUUCUCAUAUUUUUAUACCAUGUGAGUUCAACUCUUGCUUUUCUUUGAAAUUUUUAUGUUUUGUGAUUUUUACAACUAGGUUCAACAAUUGAAUUCAUUAGUUUUUUAUUCCAUGUGUGAUUUUGUAAGUUACCAUGAAUAAGUGAUGGAAGUUUAUGAUGAGUUAUCAUAGAUUUGAAGCUUUAAUUUCAUUAUAUUAUGAUUUUAUUAAGUGAUUUUAGUAGAAAAUGAUUUUUAGGACCUAAUUGUGAAAAAGCUAGGAAUUGGGGUUUUGUACUGAAAUUUUGAAUACUAAAGGCUGUAUAAUAGCCUAAAAUGAUUAGACAAAGUGUUGUUUGAGGACAAAUUUGUUCAAUUGAAGUGUUAAUUGAGUAGGGACUAAAUUGUAAAAACUAUAAAUUUUGGGGUAAACGUAUAAUUUCAAAAAUUGAAGGGUAUAAAUUGCAAAAUGAAUUAGUAUUGAAAUAGAUGCUAAUGAAUGAAAAAAAUAUAUUAUAGAUUGGGAAUCUGAAGAUAAAUAAGAAAAAGAAAAAGUCGCUGAUUAGUUCCUAAAAUAUUACAACUCCUACAAAUUGGCCUAGGUAAGUUCAUACAGCUGAACUUUUAUGAUUAAUUGUAAAUGGGGGAAUGAUAUAAUGUAUUAAUUCGUGUUUUGUAGUUGAAUUAUGAUUAUUAUAAAAAAAAAAGUAAAAAUCAAAAUUUAAGUUCAAAUUAAGGGAUACGCAAGAAUGAGUACGUUUAGUAACCAGUGAUGAAUUAACGAAUAAGUCCAUGGUGGAUCCAUGGUAAAGUGUGGAACGUAGGUAUGGCAUUUCAGUAAAGAAAACCAUACUGAGUUGUGGAACGUAAAUAUGGUAUUAUAGUAAAGAAAACCAUAUUGAGUUGUGGAACGUAGGUAUGAUAUUUCAGUAAAGAAAACCAUACUAAGUUGUGAAAAGUAGGUAUAGUAUUUCAGUGAAGAAAAUCAUACUGAGUUAUAGCAUUGUAAAUGAUUCAAGCAAAUCAUGGCACCGGGCAAACGAAGUACUCAAAUCCAUAAGACGGUCCUUAAUUUGACAAGUAUUUGUAAAUGCAAUUGAAGCUAAAUGUUGGAAAUAAGUUGGUAUCUGAUAUUGAGCUAGAUUGAGUAAAUUCAUUGUUUAAGAUUGUGGUUGGCAAGAAAUAUUGUAUUAUACUUGUUUAUUAUUAUUGUUAGUGAAAUUUUGGUAAGAUUUUAUUAUGAGCCUAUGAACUUACUAAGCUUUCUGUAAGCUUAUAUGCGUGUGUUUAUUGUUUCUUGUAGAUUGACGUAUAUGUGUUCGGAGGAUCAGGUUUACAUCAAGGAUCACACUAUUCAGAUUUACCUCGGUAGAUUUUGUUAAACAACUUUUUAAUUUAUAUGGCAUGCAUAGGGGUUGAAGUAAAAAGUAAUAGUAUGAAUGAUUAAGUAUGCAAAGUAAAUCUGAAUGUGAUGGUUGUGUUAGAUAUUGAAAUAUAUAUGUUUUAGCUUGAAACGGUUGAUUGGUUGGACUUUAUUAGUAUAUAAAUGUGUUUUUGUGUAGGAGGAUAGUAUGAAGGUAAGAAAAGUGGACUUAAAUGGUCUGGUUUUGUGUGUUUGAUUGUGUUUAAGUCUGGUAAUGCCUUGUAUCCUGUUCCAACGUCGGACACGGGUAAAGUGUGUUACAUUAACAUUUUUUAAUGUUUAUAUUAUAAUAUUAUUAUUUACUAUUAUAGAUUUAAUUUUUAUGUAUUAUAAAUUACAUAAUAUAUAAAAAUAAUAGAAUAUAAAAUAUUAUAAAAUUUUAAAAACAAAUAGAAUUAAAUCGAAUAUUAUAUAUUUAAGUUUGAAUUCGAUUUAUAUUUUAAACAAAAUUAAUUAAAUUUAUAAAAUAAAUCUAAAUUUUUUAUUUAAAUCUCCACAAAUUUUAGACAAACUUUCAACGGAUAUAGUCAUGAAUCAAGAGGUAGAGUGAUAGACAUUUAAAACACGUUAUUGUACAAUCAUAACAAAAGAAAAGGAGUGUUCUAAGACCAUAAAUUUUACCAACCACUUGCCUGCCUCUUAAACACAAAAGCUUUAAAGCUGCAAUGAUAUGACAAAACGGGCAUUUAUUUGUUUCUAUCAACUUAACGUACAUGGUAUUAAUAUUUUAGGGUGCACUGAUAUAUGAUUUACAGCAAUGGUCUCAUUCCACAGCAUCUGCAUCUGCAUCUGCAUCUGCAUCAUCCACCUUCUUAUUGGUGAUGAAGCCUAAAACCCGCCAUUGUUGAUAAAUUGAUUUCCCUGUCUGACACCCUGUUUCGUACCCAUGACUGAAGGUCCUCUUUUAUCUCCAACGUAAUUAUUUCAGUCGGCCCCAAUUGCAAUAAUGGUAGGAGAGAGAGACUUUCCAACGCCAUGCAGACCAAACAUGGAAACUGUCUCCACAUUAUCACUCACUCAUAUCCUCUCUAGUUUUUUUUUAAAGGGUUAAUGUGUAAAUUUCGGAGCUCAAAUUGAAAUUUAUACCCUAAUGUUAUAUUUUAAGUUAUAUUUAUCAAUAUACUUUAAAGCAAAAAAAAAAAUUUACCACUAUAUUUUAGUUUUAUUCUUAAAAUAUAAUGAUAAAUACUAAUCAAAAUAAUAUAUAGUGACAAAUUUUAAAUAUACACUAAUAAUAUAAUAAUAAAUUCCCAUUUUAACCCUUUUUUAAGAUUAAUUUUCAAAAAAACAAAUCAAUAAAUUUGAAAAACCUAAUUUUAUGAAUAUCAAAAAUUAAGAUUUAAAUAAUAUAAUAUUAUACAUUGAUACCUUAUUCAAAGGCAUAAGGAAUCUCUAUAAAGUAAAUCGCAUUUCUAUUUUCGGUCUUUAAUUUUUUUUUGUUCAUUUCAUUUUUAAUGUUAUAUGAUCUCAAUUUAAUUCUUUAGAUGUUAAAAGCUAAUGGUUGAAAUAUUCAUCCAUGUUACUACAUGUCAUAAAUAUGAUGCUAUCAUUUAAAAAACCUUUAAAAAUGAAAAAUUACAAAAAAAAUUAUUAAAAUUAUUAAAAUUAUUUAAAAUAGAAAAAUUAUAAAAAUUAUAAAAACUAACAUAAAAAUUUUAACAAGUUUGUUAUUAUUAAGUUUUACAUUCUUCGUGGCCAAAUAAGGUUUUAUAUAUAUAUAUAAACAAUCUAAAAAUAUUAAUUAACUACAAAAUAGUCUAGGUUUUUUAUUGGAAUAUAUUAAAAAAAUAUAAAUAUCGAAAUAGGUUGUCAGAUAGAUUAAUUAUCGAAAUGGUAUGUUUUUUUUAAUGGCGCCUAUCUGACAGGCGCCAAUGAAUUUUUUAUAUUAAUAUUUUUUCUUUUAAUAAAAUAUUAUUUUUUUCCGGAUCAGUAUAUGACCCAUUUUCUAUGAUAUAAUUGUAUCCCUUUUAUCUUGUCGGCAAUAGAUUAAAAUUAAACUUAUUGAUUAAUGUUGGUACCGAGUCAGGUUUAUGUAAUGUAUUUAGAUCAAUUUUUUAAGUUUGGAUUCGGCUCAGCUCAAAAAAUGAAUUUAUUUUUUUGCCCAAAUUUGACUCAAUUUAAUAAAAGUAAAUUCAGGUCUGGCCUAACUCGUUCAUAUUUGAUUUUUUUUAGAUUAGUUUUUAUUUAAAAAUAAAUUUCUAAAAAAUAUAAUACUAAAAAACUUUAAAAUAAAAGUUUUCUAACACAUUAGAAAUACAUUAAAAACUAUUUAUAUUAAAAAUACUAUUAUAAAUAUAAUAAAUAUUUUAUUGUAUUAAAUAUAAUUUUUAAAAUUUUAUAUUUUGGGUUGAGUUACUUAGUUUGGUAAGUUUUUUUUUUAGAUUUUGGGUAAUAGAUUUAAUUGUUAUUGAAUUAGUGAUUUAAUAUAAAUAUAAAUAUAAAUAUAAAUAUUAUUUAACAUAUAUAAUUAAUAUCAUAUUGUUAUAACAUAAUAUACUAGAGUCAAGCCAAGUUCAGACAAAAAAUUAUAUCCAAAUCCCGACUCAUAUAGAAAAUGGGUCAUAUACUGAUCCGGAAAAAAUUAAUAAUAUUUUAUUAAAAGAAAAAAAUUUAAUAUAAAAAAUUCAUUGGCGCCUGUCAGAGAAUCGCCAUUAAAAAGAAAAAAAAUAAUAUAAAAAAUUCAUUAGCUCCUGUCAAAUAGGCACCAUUAAAAAAAAUACCAUUUCGAUAAUUAAUCUAUCUGACAACCUAUUUCGGUAUUUAAUUUUUUUAAUAUAUUCCUAUAAAAACCCAAAUAGUCUUGGAGGAAAAAUUAUAUGCAAAAACGACUCAUUUGUUAUAGUAUUAGUCGGUGCCGUUUAAUCAAUCGGCGAUAUCACUUUCUUUUUUCUCUAAUCCUGAUUAAUCAUCAGUGUUUUAAAAAAAGAUUUUUUUGUACCACCUGACACAAUAGUGGCACUGAACUGAAGUACGAUUAUGUAAAAUGUUUAGAAACCAGAUGAAGUAAUUGCCUGUUUUUGAUUGGUUGGAAAAUAAUUACAAAUAUAAGAUAACAAAAAUAAACUCUUUUCAUUUUUUUAAAAAUAAUAAAAUUAAAAAUAUAUAUAAUAUUCUUAUUUAAAUUAUCCAAAUAUAUCCUUUAAAAAUUUUCUUUAAAUUUAUCUAAAUUUAAAUAUUUUCGUUAAAUUAAAAAUUAUCAAAUAUAAUAUUACUUGAAACCCAAAUACUAGACCAUUUUACCAAUAAAGACCCAUUUCUAACUUUAUUUACGAAAAUAGACCACUUUUUUCAUUAUUUACCGGAAUGAGCUGAAAACACUAAAAUGUGUCCACAAAAUAGUGUUUUAAGGGGAAAUUCUAGCAAAACGUGCCCCUGAGGGAGUAAUUUUGCCAUGUCAGCACAGAAUACACUGACGUGAACGCGCUUUGCUAACGUGGCAAAAUCGCUCCCUCAGGGACGCACUUUAGCCCGUGUUUUUCUAGUGUUAGGGCUAUUUGCAUGUUUAGUGCCUAAAGUUUGUGGGUUUAGGUUUUAGGAUUAUAGUGUUAGUAUUUUGUUAAUAUAAUUUAGGAUUUUAUUUAUUUAAAGUUUAAGAAAUUUUAAAAAUAAAUUAGGGUUAUAUGAAGUAGCGAUGUUGUUAAAUGUAUAGUAGUAUUGUUGGGAAUAUCACAAAAUUUUUUGUACUAUAUUUUGGAUUGUAUAUGAGUCUCUUUAUUGAAAAACAAAUAAAUUAAUUCUUCAAAAAGUUAUAAAAUGAUUACUAAAUUAUUUGAGUUUCCAUUUCAGUCAAUGGGCAAUUAAAUUAUUAUUGUAUAGCCUUAUCUGUUCGCACUCCUUAUACUAAUCGAAAGCUCCCAUUUUCCUUAUUUUUUUUAUAGUUUAAUUUUUCAUUACAAAUUUGCGAAUCAAAAUUCAAACAAAUUUUUUUAUUUUUUCUUAUAUUUUUGACAUUGAUUGUUAGAUUGUAGUUCACUAGUCAAACUUAAAAAAAAAACAACUUAACAAUCUAAUAACUUAAAUAAAAACUUUCGAAUAGUUUAGAAACUUAAAUGAAAACUUUUGAAUAGUUUAGUGAUCAUUUUGUAACUUUAUGAAGUUGGGUAACCAAAAUAUAAACUUAAUAAUAGUUUAAUGACAUUGAGUGUAGUUUACUCUUAAUAUAAUAUUAUGUUAGAUUCAAGUUAAUAUAAUAUUACUCUUUAAAUGUUCUUUUUUUGGAAAACAACUUAUGUUUUUCAAAAGAGGAAUUCGAUUCGUAGAAAAAAAUGAUUUAUUUUUUAUUGACUUGUAUCUCAUUUUUGUUUAUUAAAUUAUUUUUUAUGAAAAAAAUUUGAAAAAUGUAAAAAAAAAUAAAUCUAUAAAUCAUUUUUCAUGAAGUAGAAACAACUUAAAUUUGAAAGGAAACUUAGCAUAUAAUAUUUACACAAAAUGACACUUAAAACUUGAAAAGUUUCAUUCUUAAUGUCUUUAUAAUACCUAGAGAUAUACAUGGGUCGAACCAGAUCAAGGCUCAACUUAAAAAAAAUGUCAAACCCGGUUCCAAGCAUCUCACACCCAAUAAGCCUACAUUAUUGUUUGAAUAAUAGUACUUUUUAAAACAGACUUUUAGGGUAAGAGAUUAUGGAUGGUGUAGAGGUUGUCGUUGAUGAAUCAAAUGUGACCUAAGUGGGGAAUUUUUUUUUUCUUUAUUCUUCUUUUUCUACCACUGCAAGUUAAUGGGGGAUGCUAUAGAGACUACCGUUUCCACUUGGGAUGCCAACAUGGCAAGUUAAUUGGCUACCUCAGCUUUCUGUUAUGUCUAUAACGGUAGUAACCGAUUUGUCAUUUUUUUAAAGUUGAGCGACUGAAUUGAACCACAGUGACUGUUUUACCAGCUACAUCAAAGUUGAGUGACUGUUGGUGUAAUUUACCCUUAAAUUAAUUACUCAUUAUAGAUUUGUUGAAUCAAAUAUAUUUUCUUAUUAAUUCUACUACAGUAAUGUUUUUAUGAUUUUAGUAGUAGUAGAAUUGAGUUUAGAAACUAAUUUAAUUAAUUAAUUAAUAUUUAUUUAUUUUGGAAAAUAAAAAUAAUUAUUGGAUUGGAUUAAAUUAUAAAGUGUUAGGCCAAAAGUUAAAUAAACACAUAUAAUUAAACCCAAUACAUAAUAGGCCUAUCUAAACCCAUAUGUGAACACAAGGGGCGACAACCCUAAUAAAAUUAACAAGGUGUGUCACGCCUCCUUGCUCUAAUUAGAGUGGGAGCAUAUUUUUAUUUAAAUAACAUUAUUUGUUAAGGGCUUGUUCAACUAGGGUUCUUGUACCUCUCUUGUAAAUAGAUAGCAUCAGUUGACUUAAAAACACACUUCAUAAAUUAUCUAGUUAUCAUUAUUUUGCUAGAAAGUAGUGAGAAUUUAUUUACUUAAAAUAAAUUUUAUUUUCGGAGAAUUUCGAUAUAUACCAAUUUUUAUGGAGAGAACUAACUUUCCAACUGGAAGUAAGUAAAUCAUUUUAUUUUCUAUUAUUUGGUUCGUGUUACUCAAACUCAUACUCGAUGUAAUUUGUGGAACAAGGAUAGCAGAGAAUGUCAUUUAGUUGAAAGCCGGGAUCGACAUGAAUCUUCUUUCACAAUGCACAUGUAUGAUAGGAUCGACAUGGGUCGAACUUAGGCAUGAUAUUAACACGUUUUGUACUUGCCUAAGCGCAAUCCAACUCAAAAUAUGAGCCUAAAAUUUUAUUCAAAUUUACUAAUAUUUAUAAAUUGAUAACUCAAGCUCAUUUUAGACUUAUCCAUUUUAUUUUUAAAUAAAUUAAAAUUUAUUUAUAUUAAUUUUAAUUUAAUAUUUAUUAAAAUUUAAUAUUUAAUCAUAUUAAUAUUCUUUUUAUUUAUAUUAUAAUUAUAUUAUUUACAAUUAUAAUAAAUUUAAUUUUAUAUAACUCGGUUGAUAUUUUAAGCGAAAUAAAUGUUAGAGAAACUUUGAUCAGAGAUGACAUUUAAAAGACACUGCAGUAUGAUAACAAAAGAGAAGGUGGACUGUUCUAAGACCAUACAUUUUGCCUACCACUUACCUGCCACUUGAACACUAAAGCUUCAAAGCUGCAAUGAUAUGACAACACGACACGGCCAUUGAUAUAUGAUAAAAAUAUAAUUUUUAUUUUAAUCUUAUUAUUAUAUUUGAAGAUAAUACUAUAAACUACACAAGAAAUUUUAAAAAAUCCCAAAAUAAUGUCAUACAUUUAGUACACAAAACUCACUUCAAUUAAUUUUACCGAAGCAACUCAUCUUUCAUUUCUUCUCUCCAUUUCGAUUCCUGGACUCGGUAUCUUGUUGCUUUAAUUUUCUGGGUUAGAAAUCUCUUCUUUUCUUCUUUAUUUUCAAUGAUAUUUUUUUUCAAGUUAUUUCCUAACAUUUCAAACCUUUCAGAUGGCAGGAGCAAUGAUGGCAGAAGUUCUUUUGGGUGCUAUUUUGAAUGAAGCGGUGUCUAAAGCGAAUUCAAUUGCCACUAACCAAAUCAGCCGUAUAUCGAAUUUCAAGAAGGAGCUGAGAAGACUGGGCGACUCACUAGAAAUAAUGGAAGCUUUUUUGCAAGAUGCAGAGGAAAUGCAAACAAAGAAGGAAGCAGUGAAGCUUUGGUUGCAGAGGCUCAAAGAUGUUGCUGAUGAGGCUGCUGAUGUCCUUGAUGAGUUUGACUAUGAAAUUCUCCGAAGGAAACUGAAGAUUCGGAGCCAAAUUCGAAGGAAGGUAGUCGACUUCCUUUCUUCUGACAAUUCCAUUUUAUUUCGUCUCAAGAUGGCUAAAAAAAUUAAGGACAUCCUUGAAACACUGGAUGGCCUUAACAAACAGGCCAACGAAUUUGGUCUUCAGCAGAGAGCUACAGAACAUGUGUCUCCUAGAAGAUCAAAUGUGGAGACGUUCUCUGUCAUGGAUGACUCGCCCAUUGUUGGAAGGGAAAAUGAUGUCUCAAAGGUGGUUGACCUGUUAGUCAAUCCUAAAGAUGAGCAGGUUGUUUCUGUUGUACCUAUAGUAGGUAUGGCAGGUCUUGGCAAAACUGCAUUGGCAAAGCUGGUGUAUAAUGAUCUGCGUGUGAAAAGGCAUUUUGAUGUCAAAUCCUGGGUCUGUGUUUCUGAUCAUUUUGAUGUCAAAAAGAUUUUAGGGGCGAUGUUUGAACAGCUUACUGGUGAUAGCCGUACCUCAAUGCCAGAAAAUAUGGAUGCAAUGAUUAUGAAGCUCAAGAAGAAGAUUGAACAGGCCAAAGGAGAAAAAGAUCAGAUCAAGUAUCUUAUUGUACUUGAUGAUGUGUGGGAUGUUAAGAAAUGGGAGGAUCUAAAGCUUUGUCUGAAAGGAAUCAGUACAAAUGGCGGGAAUGGAGUUAUUGUGACAACACGCAAAGAAGAUGUAGGAUCAACAGUGCAAGCACUUUCGAAUCAAAGGCAUCACCCAGGAAGACUAGAAGAUGAAGAAUGCUGGUCCGUAAUUGAACAACUAGCAUUGACACCCUUUCCAAUGUCUCACGAAUUAGAGCUUAUUGGAAAGGAGAUUGCUAUGCAGUGUCGAGGUCUGCCAUUGUUAGCUAAAGUUAUUGGAGGGACAAUGCGCAAAGAAAGGAGCCACGGCACAUGGUUGGAAAUUCAAGAAAGUGGAGUAUGGGGUUCAGCGGACAGUGAGUUAGUGGAAAGUGUGUUAAAAUUAAGUUUUGAUCGCUUGCCUUCUCCAUCUUUGAAGAAGUGUUUUGCGUACUGUGCCAUGUUUCCGAAAGAUUAUUGCUUUGAAACAGAGGAAUUGAAGCAACUGUGGAUGGCUGAAGGAUUUCUUGGCAGCCCUAUGGCAAUGGUGGAUAUUGGUGACAAAUACUUGAAUGAGUUGUUAUCAAAUUCCUUAUUUCAAGAUGUCGAGAAGGACAAAUUCGGGAAUAUUCUCACAUUCAAGAUGCACGACUCGGUGCAUGAUCUAUCUUUGUCUGUGUCAAAGUUUGAUACUUUGUUUUUUCAAGAGAAAUCCAGUCUCACCUCAAAAGAGUGUUCUCAUAUUCGUCAUCUCAAUGUUGGGUGCGAUGGGGAAUCAUUACCAGAAAUUUUAACAGCGGUUGCUCCGAAAUUAUACUCGUUGUUUUCAGAGAUUGAUGUGUUCAAGAAACUAUCAAAAAGCUUCACAAGAUUAAGAGUCCUAAAGUUUGUUGGCGCUGCUAAUAUUUGUGAGUUGCCAGAUCCCCUUGGAGAAUUGAAGCACUUGAGGUAUUUGGAUGUCUCAAGGACUUCUAUCAAAGCACUGCCGAAGUCCGCAACCAAACUUUACAAUCUGCAAACAUUGAGGCUCUUGGGUUUACUGAGACUCACACUUCCAGAUGGAUUGGAAAUUUUGACAAGCUUGAAGCACUUGUAUUUUGGUAAAAAAGAACAUCAACUAGUUAAUAUUGGAAACCUAACUUGUCUUCAAACAUUACCCAUAUUUUUUGUGGGAUCAGAAAGGGGGCAUUCGAUUAAGGAGUUAGGAUCCCUAGACGAACUGCGUGGAGAAUUGAAGAUAUGCCAUCUUGAGGGUGUUAGAGACGAACAAGAGGCUAAAGGAGCAAAUCUGCACCGUAAAGAAAAAUUAUUCAAGGUGAUAUUUGAUUUUGGACGGUGUGAUAGUGGGAGUAGUGGUUAUAACAGUGAGGAAGUGAUGGAAGGUCUCCAACCACACUCAAAGUUGCAAAGCUUAACUGUUUCGCUUUACAGAGGUGAAAGCUUUCCCUCGUGGAUGUUAAGACCUGUUGGUGAUUCUAAUACUAAUCUGUUUUUGCUUAACAAUUUGAUGGAGCUGAAGUUUUUCUAUUGCAAGAACUGUGAAAGUCUUCCACCUCUGGGCCAAUUGCACAAUCUCCAGUAUCUUGAGUUGAUAAAGCUGACGAAAGUGAAACGCAUGGGUAAUGAAUUUUAUUGCAACGAAAGUGUUGAUGGUAUGAAUAAGGUGAUCAAGGUGUUUCCUGCAUUGAAAAAAUUCACCUUAAGGUUUAUGGACAGUCUAGAAGAAUGGACAGGAAUGGCGGAAACAAAGAUGAUCAUGUUUCCUUGCUUGGAGCGGCUGGAGAUUACGAGGUGUCCCUUGUUGAAAAGUGUUCCACUAACGGGACAAUGCUCAUCUCUUCAAAAGCUUCACAUUUCCAGUUGUGAAAAAUUAAGCAAGAUUGGAGAUGGAUUAUCUACCUCCACUUGUCUCAAAAAAUUACAUCUAGGCAAUUGUCCUGAUUUAAGUUCGAUCCCAAAUUUGGAAGGAUUUUCCUCUCUUCAAGAUCUGUCAGUUUGUGGGUGCCUCAAAUUGGAAGUUCUUCCAAUAACUGGAGGAUGUUCAUCUCUUGAAGAGCUGGAGAUUACGAGGUGUCCCUUGUUGAAAAGUGUUCCACUAACGGGACAAUGCUCAUCUCUUCAAAAGCUUCACAUUUGGGAUUGUGAAAAAUUAAGCAAGAUUGGAGAUGGAUUAUCUACCUCCACUUGUCUCAAAAAAUUACAUCUAGGCAAUUGUCCUGAUUUAAGUUCGAUCCCAAAUUUGGAAGGAUUUUCCUCUCUUCAAGAUCUGUCAGUUUGGGGGUGCCUCAAAUUGGAAGUUCUUCCAAUAACGGGACAAUGUUAUUCUCUUGAAAAGCUUCGCAUUUGCGAUUGUGAAAAAUUAAGCAAGAUUGGAGAUGGAUUAUCUACCUCCACUUGUCUCAAAAAAUUAAAUCUAAUCAUUUGUCCUGAUUUAAGUUCGAUCCCAAAUUUGGAAGGAUUUUCCUCUCUUCAAUAUCUGUCAGUUCGAUGUUGCAAGAAAUUGGAAGUUCUUCCAAUAACCGGAGGAUGUUCAUCUCUUGAAAAGCUUCGCAUUUCCAGUUGUGAAAAAUUAAGCAAGAUUGGAGAUGGAUUAUCUACCUCCACUUGUCUCAAAAAAUUAGAUCUAGUAGAUUGUCCUGAUUUAAGUUCGAUCCCAAAUUUGGAAGGAUUUUCCUCUCUUCAAGAUCUGUCAGUUUGGAGGUGCCUCAAAUUGGAAGUUCUUCCAAUAACCGGAGGAUGUUCAUCUCUUGAAGAGCUUUCCAUUUACAGUUGUGAAAAAUUAAGCAAGAUUGGAGAUGGAUUAUCUACCUCCACUUGUCUCAAAAAAUUAAAUCUAGCAGAUUGUCCUGAUUUAAGUUCGAUCCCAAAUUUGGAAGGAUUUUCCUCUCUUCAAUAUCUGUCAGUUCGAAGGUGCGACAAAUUGGAAGUUCUUCCAAUAACAGCACCACUGUCAUCGCUUAAAAAAAUGUUGAUAGGUGAUUGCCCUAAUUUGAGGCCCAUUCCAAGUUUAGAUGGACUCUCUUCUCUCACAGAAUUAGAAAUUGGGAAAGUAGGCGAAGGAUGGAGUCGUCUGCUACCAAAUAUGUUGCAAUCCAACGUUUCCCUUUGCAGUCUAACAAUAUUAAAUAUUCCUGAUCUGAUAUGGAUUCAAGAUGACAGCCUUGGUAGGCUUAACUGCUUGAGAGAAUUAGCUAUCGGUGGUUUCUCAGAAAAGCUACAAGAAUUCCCGGGGUCCAGUUCCAUUCGAUAUCUGAGUGCCUCCCUUCUAGUUCUAAAACUGACUGGUUGGGAAAAGCUAAAGAGUCUUCCUCACCAACUUCAGUUCUUGACUGCCCUCGAAGAAUUGACGAUAGAAGGGUUUCAAGGAGUAGAAGCCUUUCCAGAGUGGUUGGGAAAUCUCUCUUCUCUGAAGCGUCUAUAUUUGAGUGGUUUUGGAAAGCUAAAGAGUCUUCCUCACCAACUUCAUCUCCCCAGUACCCUUGAAGAGUUGACUAUUGACAAUUUUCAUGAAAUAGAAGCCUUGCCAGACUCGUUCAGAAAUCUCUCUUCUCUAGGGUGUCUGAGUAUCCAGUUCUGUGAUAAGCUCAUGUACUUGCCUUCUGUAGAUGUUAUGCGAAGCCUCUCCAAAUUAAUAAGAAUGAACAUUAAAGGGUGUCCUCUAUUAGAGACAAGAUGUGAGCGGGAGAGUGGCCCUGAAUGGUCCAAGAUUUCCCACAUUCCACAUGUAUAUAUUAAUCAUCGGAGGUAAGUUCAGUUACUUGAACCACAACUCUGCAUCUUUUGGCUUUUGAUAUAAAAUAUACUAAUCCUCUCUUGAUACUUUUUAUAGUUAUACCGUUUGUUCUUCUCAUCCUAAGUUACUUGAUUUUGUCUCAUAUAAAUCCUUCUUUUAAAAUUUUUUUGGCUUUUGUGGCAUAAUGUUGCAGGACUAAUUGGGGCAUCAAAUCUGUUAGAAAAUGGACUGCAAAGCAACAAACAAGUUGAUAUGCAACUUGGUUUCAUAAUGAUAGCUAUAAUGCUUUCAUCUUUUGCUUUCAUAAUGAUAGCCAAAUUUGGUGGAGUAGGUAGUAUUUGGUGAUGUAUUUGACUAUAAAUGUAUUGUUUUUCUAGUUGAAUGAAUGAGCUGAAUGAGCUAUCAGCCAUUAGCUCCCUUGCAGCACGUUUGUGAGCAAGUAAAUUGUUUUUGUUUCUUCCUCCUUUGUUCUUUGUCUUGUUUUCUUUCUUUUUGCUGCUGCCAAUGUAGGAUCAACAGUGCAAGCACUUUCGAAUCAAAGGCAUCACCCAGGAAGACUAGAAGAUGAAGAAUGCUGGUCCGUAAUUGAACAACUAGCAUUGACACCCUUUCCAAUGUCUCACGAAUUAGAGCUUAUUGGAAAGGAGAUUGCUAUGCAGUGUCGAGGUCUGCCAUUGUUAGCUAAAGUUAUUGGAGGGACAAUGCGCAAAGAAAGGAGCCACGGCACAUGGUUGGAAAUUCAAGAAAGUGGAGUAUGGGGUUCAGCGGACAGUGAGUCAGUGGAAAGUGUGUUAAAAUUAAGUUUUGAUCGCUUGCCUUCUCCAUCUUUGAAGAAGUGUUUUGCGUACUGUGCCAUGUUUCCGAAAGAUUAUUGCUUUGAAACAGAGGAAUUGAAGCAACUGUGGAUGGCUGAAGGAUUUCUUGGCAGCCCUAUGGCAAUGGUGGAUAUUGGUGACAAAUACUUGAAUGAGUUGUUAUCAAAUUCCUUAUUUCAAGAUGUCGAGAAGGACAAAUUCGGGAAUAUUCUCACAUUCAAGAUGCACGACUCGGUGCAUGAUCUAUCUUUGUCUGUGUCAAAGUUUGAUACUUUGUUUUUUCAAGAGAAAUCCAGUCUCACCUCAAAAGAGUGUUCUCAUAUUCGUCAUCUCAAUGUUGGGUGCGAUGGGGAAUCAUUACCAGAAAUUUUAACAGCGGUUGCUCCGAAAUUAUACUCGUUGUUUUCAGAGAUUGAUGUGUUCAAGAAACUAUCAAAAAGCUUCACAAGAUUAAGAGUCCUAAAGUUUGUUGGCGCUGCUAAUAUUUGUGAGUUGCCAGAUUCCCUUGGAGAAUUGAAGCACUUGAGGUAUUUGGAUGUCUCAAGGACUUCUAUCAAAGCACUGCUGAAGUCCGCAACCAAACUUUACAAUCUGCAAACAUUGAGGCUCUUGGGUUUACUGAGACUCACACUUCCAGAUGGAUUGGAAAUUUUGACAAGCUUGAAGCACUUGUAUUUUGAUAAAAAAGAACAUCAACUAGUUAAUAUUGGAAACCUAACUUGUCUUCAAACAUUACCCAUAUUUUUUGUGGGAUCAGAAAGGGGGCAUUCGAUUAAGGAGUUAGGAUCCCUAGACGAACUGCGUGGAGAAUUGAAGAUAUGCGAUCUUGAGGGUGUUAGAGACGAACAAGAGGCUAAAGGAGCAAAUCUGCACCGUAAAGAAAAAUUAUUCAAGGUGAUAUUUGAUUUUGGACGGUGUGAUCAAAAAUUAUUCAAGGUGAUAUUUGAUUUUGGACGGUGUGAUAGUGGGAGUAGUGGUUAUAACAGUGAGGAAGUGAUGGAAGGUCUCCAACCACACUCAAAGUUGCAAAGCUUAACUGUUUCGCUUUACAGAGGUGAAAGCUUUCCCUCGUGGAUGUUAAGACCUGUUGGUGAUUCUAAUACUGAUUUGUUUUUGCUUAACAAUUUGAUGGAGCUGAAGUUUUUCUAUUGCAAGAACUGUGAAAGUCUUCCACCUCUGGGCCAAUUGCACAAUCUCCAGUAUCUUGAGUUGAUAAUGCUGACGAAAGUGAAACGCAUGGAUAAUGAAUUUUAUUGCAACGAAAGUGUUGAUGGUAUGAAUAAGGUGAUCAAGGUGUUUCCUGCAUUGAAAAAAUUCACCUUAUGGUUUAUGGACAGUCUAGAAGAAUGGACAGGAAUGGCGGAAACAAAGAUGAUCAUGUUUCCUUGCUUGGAGCGGCUGGAGAUUACGACGUGUCCCUUGUUGAAAAGUGUUCCACUAACGGGACAAUGUUCAUCUCUUGAAAAGCUUCGCAUUUGCGAUUGUGAAAAAUUAAGCAAGAUUGGAGAUGGAUUAUCUACCUCCACUUGUCUCAAAGAAUUAGAUCUAGCAGAUUGUCCUGUUUUAAGUUCGAUCCCAAAUUUGGAAGGAUUUUCCUCUCUUCAAUAUCUGUCAGUUCGAUGUUGCAAGAAAUUGGAAGUUCUUCCAAUAACUGGAGGAUGUUCAUCUCUUGAAAAGCUUCGCAUUUGCGAUUGUGAAAAAUUAAGCAAGAUUGGAGAUGGAUUAUCUACCUCCACUUGUCUCAAAGAAUUAGAUCUAGCAGAUUGUCCUGAUUUAAGUUCGAUCCCAAAUUUGGAAGGAUUUUCCUCUCUUCAAUAUCUGUCAGUUCGAUGUUGCAAGAAAUUGGAAGUUCUUCCAAUAACCGGAGGAUGUUCAUCUCUUGAAAAGCUUCGCAUUUACGAUUGUGAAAAAUUAAGCAAGAUUGGAGAUGUAUUAUCUACCUCCACUUGUCUCAAAGAAUUAGAUCUAGUCAAUUGUCCUGAUUUAAGUUCGAUCCCAAAUUUGGAAGGAUUUUCCUCUCUUCAAGAUCUGUCAGUUUGGAGGUGCCUCAAAUUGGAAGUUCUUCCAAUAACCGGAGGAUGUUCAUCUCUUGAAGAGCUUUCCAUUUACAGUUAGUGAAAAAUUAAGCAAGAUUGGAGAUGGAUUAUCUACCUCCACUUGUCUCAAAGAAUUAGAUCUAGCAGAUUGUCCUGAUUUAAGUUCGAUCCCAAAUUUGGAAGGAUUUUCCUCUCUUCAAUAUCUGUCAGUUCCAUGUUGCAAGAAAUUGGAAGUUCUUCCAAUAACCGGAGGAUGUUCAUCUCUUGAAAAGCUUCGCAUUUGCGAUUGUGAAAAAUUAAGCAAGAUUGGAGAUGGAUUAUCUACCUCCACUUGUCUCGAAGAAUUACAUCUAGCAGAUUGUCCUGAUUUAAGUUCGAUCCCAAAUUUGGAAGGAUUUUCCUCUCUUUAAUAUCUGUCAGUUCGAUGUUGCAAGAAAUUGGAAGUUCUUCCAAUAACCGGAGGAUGUUCAUCUCUUGAAAAGCUUCGCAUUUGCGAUUGUGAAAAAUUAAGCAAGAUUGGAGAUGGAUUAUCUACCUCCACUUGUCUCAAAGAAUUAGAUCUAGCAGAUUGUCCUGAUUUAAGUUCGAUCCCAAAUUUGGAAGGAUUUUCCUCUCUUCAAUAUCUGUCAGUUCGAUGUUGCAAGAAAUUGGAAGUUCUUCCAAUAACCGGAGGAUGUUCAUCUCUUGAAAAGCUUCGCAUUUACGAUUGUGAAAAAUUAAGCAAGAUUGGAGAUGGAUUAUCUACCUCCACUUGUCUCAAAGAAUUAGAUCUAGUAGAUUGUCCUGAUUUAAGUUCGAUCCCAAAUUUGGAAGGAUUUUCCUCUCUUCAAUAUCUGUCAGUUCGAUGGUGCGACAAAUUGGAAGUUCUUCCAAUAACAGCACCACUGUCAUCGCUUAAAAAAAUGUUGAUAGGUGAUUGCCCUAAUUUGAGGCCCAUUCCAAGUUUAGAUGGACCCUCUUCUCUCACAGAAUUAGAAAUUGAGAAAGUAGGCGAAGGAUGGAGUCGUCUGCUACCAAAUAUGUUGCAAUCCAACGUUUCCCUUUGCAGUCUAACAAUAUUAAAUAUUCCUGAUCUGAUAUGGAUUCAAGAUGACAGCCUUGGUAGGCUUAACUGCUUGAGAGAAUUAGCUAUCGGUGGUUUCUCAGAAAAGCUACAAGAAUUCCCGGGGUCCAGUUCCAUUCGAUAUCUGAGUGCCUCCCUUCUAGUUCUAAAACUGACUGGUUGGGAAAAGCUAAAGAGUCUUCCUCACCAACUUCAGUUCUUGACUGCCCUCGAAGAAUUGACGAUAGAAGGGUUUCAAGGAGUAGAAGCCUUUCCAGAGUGGUUGGGAAAUCUCUCUUCUCUGAAGCGUCUAUAUUUGAGUGGUUUUGGAAAGCUAAAGAGUCUUCCUCACCAACUUCAUCUCCCCAGUACCCUUGAAGAGUUGACUAUUGACAAUUUUCAUGAAAUAGAAGCCUUGCCAGACUCGUUCAGAAAUCUCUCUUCUCUAGGGUGUCUGAGUAUCCAGUUCUGUGAUAAGCUCAUGUACUUGCCUUCUGUAGAUGUUAUGCGAAGCCUCUCCAAAUUAAUAAGAAUGAACAUUGAAGGGUGUCCUCUAUUAGAGACAAGAUGUGAGAGGGAGAGUGGCCCUGAAUGGUCCAAGAUUUCCCACAUUCCAUUUGUUAAUAUUAAUGAUUGGCUGUAAGUUCAGUUACUUGAACCACAACUCUGCAUCUUUUGGCUUUUGAUAUAAAAUAUACUAAUCCUCUCUUGAUACUUUUUAUAGUUACACCCUUUGUUCUUCUCAUCCUAAGUUACUUGAUUUUGCCUCAUAUAAAUCCUUCUUUUAAAAUUUUUUGGCAUAAUGUUGCAGGAUUUAGUUUGGGCAUGGAAUCUUUUGAGACUAUCAGUUUGAGAACCAAAUUAUGAAUUAAAUCCGUGGACACAAAAGUAAGUUGUGCUUAUAAUUUCCUUUCCAUGAAAAUUAUGAUAUUAUGCCUUUAGAUUUUGCCUUGAUAAAUAAUUCCAUGGAUAUCCUAAGUCCCUUUUCUCAUAUCUCAUAUUUUUAACUUAAAUUUUGAUAAAGAUUUCAUGGAUUUAUUGUCUUUCCUACACAAAUAUCUCAUUGCUGCCCUCUCUUACGAAGUUCUCAAAUCAUACUGUAUUGUAAGUUAUCUAUUUUCAUUUGAAAUGAAAUUCAUUUCGCAGAUCCGGGUUUUAUGUGUAGCCGCCCUUGGUGACAUAUUUAAGGUAAGUGGUGUAUGACCAUUGAGAAUAACUUCAACUAACUUUAUUACGAAAUUUCUUUUCUUUCCGAACUUUUAUUCUUUUGUAUUUGAGAAUCAUAGAUCAUGCAACCAAUAAAGAACAGCUUUGAAUUGCAAUUGUGAUUGGUACUUUUGUGAUUGACAGCAAAUUCACCAUACUUUGGAUUCUAAUCAGAAGCUUGUAUCUUGUUUUGCAUUGCAUUUGUGUCUCCUUGCAAGAACUGAUGUUAAGUUGUGAUCAAUGAGCAAGUUUCUUGCAAGACUUCGAUUUCCUUCUCAUGCAAUUUAUGACACUUCAUUCUAUGAUUAUCUUUGCAAUUUACAAACUGGCUUUUAUGUUUUUAUUUGAUAAAGAUUUUGUGGAUAUGGUAAGUCUCUUUCUAUAUAGUCAUUCGCAAUGUACAACUCAAUUGAAUCACAUAACUCCAUAAAACAUUCAUUUAGUUUGGAACUACAAGUCUCAUAUAUUGCUUUGUUUAUCCUUUUUUUCUGCUAUUCUAAUUUAAGGACGAUGAGAUUUUCAUGUUUUAACCUUUUGUUAAAACCAGUACUGCUUAUGUUCCAUGAAUUAUCCAGUAUCCACUCAUGAAAUUUCUGAUUUCUCUUUGAAUGUAAAGGGAGAUGCUGAUAGGGCUUGAGUCAGAGUGAAUUGUUCUCCUUUUCAACAUUGAAGAGCUAUAAUAUAAAAGACAGCUUUGGUUCUCCAAUGCAGUGUUGAUCGACUCUUCGAUCGAGGAUUUAUCUGAUGUCUGUUUGAGCUGAUUUUUGGACAAGGGCCAGUAGGCUCGCGGAUUUCGAUUGUGCAAGGUUGGCAUUUUCAUAAAUUAAUUCAUUCGACCUUAUCAAAUAGUAAUACUUCAAGUUUCAACUUAAUUACUAUAUUUUCUCAAACAUGUAAAAGGCUUUUAAACAAGCCGGCCUUGCUAUGAAAAUUUGGAUCCACUAAUUGAGUUUAGCUCAAUUUUGGCUCACUUAAUUAAUUAUUUAUUUCAUGGGUCAGACCCGAAUUUUGCUGCCAUACAAAUAAAAUAAAAUGAUUAAUCCAACUUCACAUGUUGAAUUCUCACUAUGUGUGAGUUUUAGUUUAAUUGAUUAAUUUAUAGUUUGAAUUUGUUCUAUAAUAGUUUGAUCACACCCAAUGAUUAUUAAAGCAUGUAUUUGUACUUAUAGUUUAAUUAUAUUGUACUUGUAAAUUUUAAAAAUAAUUAUUAUAUGAUGAUAUUUGUAGAUUGGUUUAUAAUUAAAAUAGUACUACUAUAUGCAUGGAUAUAAUUUAUGACACUUCUUUCUAUGAUGUGAUUAUCUUUGCAAUUUACAAACUGGCUUUUAAGUUUUUAUUUGAUAAAGAUUUUGCGGAUAUGGUAACUCUCUUGCUAUAUAUAGUCAUUUGCAAUGCACAACUAAAUUGAAUCACAUAACUCCAUAAAACAUUCAUUUAGUUUGGAACUACAAGUCAUAUAUUGCUUUGUUUAUCCUUUUUGUCUGCUAUUCUAAUUUAAGGACGAUGAGAUUUUCAUGUUUUAACCUUUUAUUAAAACCAGUACUGCUUAAGUUCCAUGAAUUAUCCAAGUAUCCACUCAUGAAAUUUCUGAUUUCUCUUUGGAUAUAAAGGGAGAUGCUGAUAGGGCUUGAGUCAGAGUGAAUUGUUCUCCUUUUCAACAUUGAAGAGCUAUAAUAUAAAAGACAGCUUUGGUUCACCA